Molecule: transfer RNA, 73 nt
Filed under: Ailuropoda melanoleuca (giant panda)
Lineage: Eukaryota; Metazoa; Chordata; Mammalia; Carnivora; Ursidae
Rfam family: tRNA
About the family: Transfer RNA (tRNA) molecules are approximately 80 nucleotides in length. Their secondary structure includes four short double-helical elements and three loops (D, anti-codon, and T loops). Further hydrogen bonds mediate the characteristic L-shaped molecular structure. tRNAs have two regions of fundamental functional importance: the anti-codon, which is responsible for specific mRNA codon recognition, and the 3' end, to which the tRNAs corresponding amino acid is attached (by aminoacyl-tRNA synthetases). tRNAs cope with the degeneracy of the genetic code in two manners: having more than one tRNA (with a specific anti-codon) for a particular amino acid; and 'wobble' base-pairing, i.e. permitting non-standard base-pairing at the 3rd anti-codon position.
Source: Rfam by way of RNAcentral
ACCUGGCUGGCUUAGUCAGUAGAACAUAUGACUCUUGAUCUCAGGGUCAUGAGUUCAAGUCCCAUGUUGGGUG